This 29-nucleotide non-coding RNA is filed under the name Homo sapiens (human). Lineage: Eukaryota; Metazoa; Chordata; Mammalia; Primates; Hominidae. The record is from RNAcentral.
UNCCUUAGCCAGCUCUGGAGUCUAGUGGU